GGCUGGCAAGCCUGCCUGCCUGCCUGCAGGAAGCCCUGGGUUACAGCCCAUUUGGGGCUGAGGGGGCAGGGUUUCAGGGAAGGAGAUCUGCAAGCACUGCAGAUCUGAGUUUCACUGGCCCAAAGAGACCCUGGAAAGCACAUUUCAGCUCCUGAUGACUGUCAAUCAGCCCAACAAAAACUCUUUCCCAGAGCCUUAAGCUUUGAGAAGAGCUGCCUUUCUGCUGACCCUCUGAGGCAAGUGUUAGUAGGAUAAGCAAUCCCAUUUUGCAGAGGGAGAGACUGAGGCCCAGAGAGUAGCCUCCCUGGGUCAUCCUCACUCAUCUAGUAAGUGGCAGAGCCAGGACUUGAAACUUCAGCAGGUUUGAGUCAUGAUAGGGUAGUGUCUCCCUUCUGCCAUCCCAGGGACCCUCGUCCCAUGGCCUAGGUACUGUGGGACUCUGGAGAAGUAGAGUCAGGAUAAUUUGAGAACUCCCUCCUUCUCUGGAGCUUCUCUCUUAAUGAUCUUCUCCAGCAGGCAGGGUUAAGGGCUAUUAUUCUCACUUUGCAGAGGAGACGGGCCCAAAGAGGGCUCCCUAAAAUCUCAGGAUUUCCGAGCUAGAAGAAAUCUCAGAAGGCGCGCAAUCCAACUCACACCCAAGCAAGAAUCCAUUCCCCACUUUGCCUGACCAAGGGACCUCUCCCAGACACCACCUGACGGGGGAACUCCUCAUCCUUGGGGCAGCCCAUACCACUCUGGUCAGCUCUCAUCGUUGGGAAGUUUGUCCUGACACUGAGGCUCCCCCACCCCACUGGUCCUGGUUCUACCCUCUACUAAUCCUUCUUCCACAUGGCCACCCUUCAAAUGCCUGAGCCAGUUAGUUUGGUCUCCAAGACUUCUCUUCUAAUCACCUUCAACUCCUUCAACGGGGUCCUCCUAAAAGACACAUUCAAAGUCCUUCACAAAUUCUGGGACCCUCCAACUGGAUUAUCAAUGACCAGAGAAAUGUCACUUAUGGGGGGCAGCUGGGUAGUUCAGUGGAUUGAGAACCAGGCCUAGAGACAGGAGGUCCUAGGUUCAAAUCUGGCUUCAGACACUUCCCAGCUGUGUGACCCUGAGCAAGUCACUUGACCCCCAUUGCCUAGCCCUUACCAUUCUUCUGCCUCAGAACCAAUACACAGUAUUAAUUCUGCGAUGGAAGGUGAGGGCUUAAAAAAAAUCAGUUAUCAUCAUCAUCAUCAUCCAAAUGCCAAACACUAUUGGGUUGAAGAGAUUUCCAUCUGCUGCAUCUUGUAUCCCUAGACCUUAUACAGUAGGCACUCAAGAAAUGCAUGUUAAAUUGAACUGCAUGCAACUGAGCAAAACUGACCCGGACAGACUAGUCCCUCCUCGUCGCUCUGCCUUUUUAAAUGGAGUCCAGGAUCUUAUUAGCUUUUUUGGCUUCCCCAUCACUCUGCUGACUCACACUCAACCAACAGGCCACUGUUUAUAGAUGAGCUGCUGGCUAACCAAAGCUCCCAUCUUGUACUUGUGAAGUUGUUUUUUUGAACCCCGACGCAAGGUUUAAAAUGUCUUUCUUAUUAGAUUCAGCCCAAGUGUCCUAGCGUGUGGAGAUCCUCUUGGAGUCUGUCAUCCAUCUACCUCUCCCUCCCAGCUCUGAGUCAUCUGAAAAUGAAUAAGCCUGGCCUCUCUGCCUCUUUCCAUGUCAUUGAUAAAAAUGGGACACCGUCCAGGGCCAGGCACAGCUCCCCUGGGCCACUCUCACUAUUAAUGGCUACUCUUAGGGUCUAAUCAUUGGACCCUUUCUGAACCCACCUCGCUCUCCUGGCAUCUAGUCCACAUCUCUCCUUUUUUUUUCCCACAAGAAGAGCAGGAGAAACUGUGUCGAGGCCCAUGUGAAAAGCAAGAUAAAUAAUAACGGCAGGGUUUCCCCUGACCUAUCAGUCUAGAAUCUGUCGAAAUGGGAAAUGAGGUUAGCUUGGCAUGACUGGUUCGUGGUGAAACAAUGUUGGCUCCUUGUGAUCGUUGCUUCCUUUUCCAGAUGUUCACUAACCAUCCCUUGAAAAAUGUAUUCUAGAAUUUUGCCAAGAAUAGAAAUCAAACUCAUUGGCCCACUACACUUUGUAGACUCUUUUUUCCCUUUUGUUGAAAAGUGAUGGGGCAGAAGGGAAUUGCCUUUCUGCAACCCAAGUUUCCAUUCUCCACGCCUCCAAAGAUCCUGGACAGUGGCUCCGUGAUCCUAUCGACCAGUUCUUUCCAAAUGCAAGGAAGUCCUUCCCCUGGGCUAGGUGGCUUGAACUCUCUUAACAUCCUUACUUAGGCACAGUAUGCGCCAUGAUCAUUUCUUAACUAUAUCUAUCACAUAGCAGCUAGCUUGCAUUUUUAUAGUGCUUUGAACUUGCAAAAAAACUUUACAAAUAUGAUCUCCGUUUACCUCUGAGAGUUAAGUGCUAUCCAUUGUUUAGAUGAAAACUGAAGCAAAAAGAGGUGACUUGGUAACUGGCCCAUAUCACAUAGCUAAUGUGUCUGGGGCUGAAUUUGAACUCAGAUCUUCUGGAUGCCAGCUCCAGGGCUCUAGCUACUGGGCUACCUAGUUGCCUUAGAGCCCAGUGUCAGAGUUGGAACAGAGAGUACACCACUAAAGAACUAGGAGAGCCAUUAUCGCCCCUCUUCAUUUUUUUCGGAUGGAGAAACUGAGAUUUGGAGAGAUGGAAAUGAUUUGACAAAUUUCUCCUGGAUGGAGAAUGUUUAAUAAAGAAGUAGGACUUAAACUGGUCCUUGGGUAAAGGGAGAGAUUCCCUUUAGAGGGGAAGAUAGCUGGGAAUCAGCUCUCAGUAAUGGAAGGUGAGGGACAGGCAACAUAGCAAAGGUGAGUUCAUGGACUUUAUCCAACAUGGUGCUACUCAGACCCCUCCAAGGGAGAAUUCUGGGGUGCAACACGCAAGUCAGACGGGCAGGCUCUGUGGCAGAUGCAGACACCUCUCUAGAGAUACAGGUCUAGCAUGCCGAUACACGAUGAGGUCAGGGUGGCCUGACAUAAAGGAUAAUGGGACAAAGGUCAGCCCAGCAGUGCCCUGCCUACCUCUCGCAGGGGAAUCUGGAUCCUCACAGUGGGAAGGGACGUCAGCAGCCGCGGUGCCCCAAAGAAGAAUCUCCCUCUCUACAUCAUACCCCAGACACCUGCGUGUCCAGCCUCUGCUGGAAGGUCUCUAAGAAAGGCAAAUCCACGGCCUCCUCAUUCCAUUCUGGAGCAUCUCUCGAGGCUAGGAAGCCUUUCCUGAAGCUGCCUCCACUGUUUCUAGUUCUACCCCCAGGGUAUCAAUCCAGGUUUGUGCCUCUUCUGCCCUGCUUCUGCUCGCAGACAGCUCUCCUGGCCCCCCGAGCCUUCUCUUCUCCAGGCUAAGCAUCCAGGACCUCACUUGGCCACUAUCCUUUUGAGUGGUGUCUUCGGCCCAUCUUCAUCUGACACGAUCUAUAGGCUACUCACUCAUUGGGGCUUCCACCUCUUGACAAUUUGAUUCAAGGGAGCAAACAUUUAUAAAAUGCCUACUGGGUGCAAAACUGGGGCAACUUGUCGUGCAGUGGAUAGAGCUCCAAAGCUGAAGUUCAGAUCUGGCUUCAGUCAUGUCCUAGCUGUAUGACUCUGGGCCAGGCAGACCCUGUUGGCCUCAGUUUCCUCAUCUGUCAAAUGGCUAGAGAGGGACAUGACAAACGACUCCAGUAUCAGCUGUGUGAUCCAGGGCAAGUCACUUCACCCUGUUGGCCUCAGUUUCCUCAUCUGUCAAAUGGCUAGAGAGGGACAUGACAAACGACUCCAGUAUCAAAUGUGUGAUCCAGGGCAAGUCACUUCACCCUGUUGGCCUCAGUUUCCUCAUCUGUCAAAUGACUAGAGAGGGACAUGACAAACGACUCCAGGAUCUGUCAAGAAAACCCAAACGGAGUCACAAAGGGUUGAACACGACUGAAAACAGCGGAAUGACACAAAAGGCACAAAACUGUACCGGGAGCUCGGAGACGGAGGCCUGCCCUCUGGGGCUUUCCCUUCAAGGGGCUCAGAGAUCAGACUGAGUCCUAGAGAAGAAUUAGAAGAUGGAGAAACCCCUUCGGCUUGGGGGAAUUCGGGAAGGAGGCAGCAUCUCCUCUUAGAUGGAGUAUCUGAGCCACAUAAACGUGGGAGGGGGCUUCCAGCCAGAGCAGAUGAGGAGGGAAUGGAUUCCAGGCAUGGCGGUGAUGCCUACGUGUGGAGGCCAGAGAUGGGACAUCUUGAGGAGGAGUGGGCUGGGCUGGGCGUAUGUGCAGGAGAAGAACACGGAAUACGGGCAGAGAUGUAGGCUGGGGUCAGCACGGAGAGUCCCUCCUCUCAUGCAGAGCCUGGAACUCCGGCCAAGAGAAGGAAUUCCGCGCGGGGUUGGCGAAGCCAGAAUAAACCAGCCCUCUGAGUCAGAGCGGGACGGUGAACUCGGCUGUCACUUCGGGGCUGCCAAUGUCGAGUCGGCGGCUGUGCCGGCUCCCCACUCUCGGGCUCAUAAAACGGGCCCAGCUGCAAAUCAGCCCAUCAGGCCAGGCGCUGGGCCAAGCCGCGAUGUACAAGCGAGUUUAUUAGCCUGCUAGGGUCUCCCCCCUGCUGUCUUAUAGCACUGAGGCAUCCACCGAUGGAAUGAGGGUUUCAGCACGGGUCCAACCUCGAAGGACGGGAGGACGAGGAAACGGGUUAAACUCGUGGCUUCCUGCUGGCCGUGGCCGUUGGGUGAAAGCGCGAGGCUGGGGCCGCCUGCUGGAAGCGGGCGCCCAGGAACCCACCCCUCCCUGCAUUAGGAAAGGACCAGGCCACUGGAACCAGCUGGGUCCUGCCCUCAGUCCUAGCGUUCCCUGGUCAGGCCAGCCAGACUUUGUGAAGUCAGAGCCGAGAGCAGACGUGAAGAAUCCCAGAAAGUCCUGGCUGCUGGGCUCUGGUGCUGUGGCCCUUGUACGAGGCCCCAUAGGGGCAGGUGGAGUGGGAGAAAGCAUGAUGGGAAUGGUGGGUGGACAUGCUAGUGGGUCAGGGAUGGAGAGAAAAAAGCCCAACCUGUUGUUCAGAUACUUCCUAGCUGUGUGACCCUGGGCAAGUCACCUAACCCAACUGCCACUCUUCUGCCUUAGAACCAAAACUUAGUAUUGAUUCUUAGUCAAAAAAUAAGAGGGUUUUUGUUUGUUUUAAAGCCCGCCAUGUUGGGGGAUCCCUGGCAUUCCCUGCACUUUGGCUUCCCAAGCUAGGUUGGAAUGAAUGACUGAAUUCCUACUUGGCUCGGCUCAGCCCUGGGCAUCUCAGCUCCGCAGGCACAUUUACAAGAGGCCUCGGAAGUAUCGGAUCUAAGCCAGACCUUGGCAAACCCUUUGGCGUCACCCCUUCCCGACAAGCUGCCCUCUGGGCUAUGCCGGGAGCCCACGACGUCCCAAGGAAACCCUCUGGGCUUGAAGUGCCAGCCUAAGCUGCCCUCUCUCCAACCAACCCUAUCUGUCUGAGCCCAGCCCUUCUGGGGCCACGUAGGGCACGUCGGAUCCGUCGUCCAGGCGACAACCUUCGAGCCAUCGGCUCUCCCGUCCCCCGAGCCUCAUCUUCUCCAGGCUCCAAGUCCCCAGGAACGUCGUGAACCACAGGCCCUUCGCCACCCUGGCUAUCCUCCUCUGGGUGCUCUCAGCAUUUGUAAACGCCCUCCCUAAACUCGAGUGCCCACUGUGGACUCACGACGCAGUGCCUGGUACACAGUAGGUGCUUAAUAAAUGCUGAUUGAUUGUUCACUCCACUGGAAACCUGCUUGGACAUAGACCCUGAACCAUUCAUGUCUCCUCUGUAGGCUGGGCCACAUCUGAAGCCCCCUGCCUGGGUUAUCCCCCAGCCCACAUCUCUCCACUUUGUCCCUAAGGGCAUAAGAGACGGGCAAACGCUCCUUUCAAAACUGGGUCAACUCUGCCUGCCAGAGCACCUCUCCUGAGGCCCUCCAUGACUCUUCUCCGAAUUAUUUGUUAUCAAUAGAACGGAUUUAUCCCCCCCCUCCCCCCACUCCAACCGAGAAUAUAGCACGACUUGGUUUUCCAGAGGAAAUAUUGUGUACAUCUUUCCAUGCUUUGUGCAACGGAUGAAUCUUCUGAAAAGUAAAAAGAAAGUAGAAUUCCCCUGAAGCAAAGCAGAUUGGAAUGCCUAAAAGGAGUCGAAGUUUGCAGCCAUCCACUGGUAAGUCUUACUAUCAAGUAGGGAACUCUCGUGUUCUCUCAUGAGGCCACGUAUCAGAAGCCUGAAUUCGUGUCAGAAUUAAGUUUUUAAAUGUAUUCCGUAAAAUGCAAAGGAUUUCAAAGAAAACCGCUUACACUGGGAUAAUAAGGGAGGGUUUUCUUCACGUCCAGUCACAUUCACGGGCCUCCAAAAUUCUAUCCACAGUCCCAUCUGGAAUCUGGGGACCCUACGUGGUCCACCACGUCCCCAUCAUCUACCCAUUGAGUAACCAUCUCCCUUUACAGAUGAGAAAAGUAAAGUCCAGAGACAGAAAAACAGGGGAUCUGGCAUCAUGGAGAGGGCCCUGAGCUGAGAGCCAAGAGACACAAGGUCAGAUCUUGGCCUUUACCACUAUCUGCAGCCUUGAGCAAGUCACUGCUGGGUCUUAGUUUCCCAGUCUGUUAAAUGGGACAGCUGAGAUACUCAAUUGACUGUUUUUAUUUAUUUAUUUAUUUUUGGCUGCGUGACCUUAGGCAAAUCCCUUCCCUUCUCUGAGCUGUUUCCUCCUUUAUACAAUAAAGGGGUUGGAAUAGAGAUCCUCUCUUGAUGAGAUGACUCCUGGGUUCCAAUGGUCUCCCAGGGUCCCGCUGGCUCCAGGAGUCUGUAUUUCUCCAGCUGUAUAGUCUUUCCCAGGGUGCCUAGAACUUCCCCCAAGAUGGAGUGGCUGUAAAGCCAGGGCUCUGGAGGUGGUGUCCUCAGCAAGCAUCCCCUCCCCACUGUAGGAGCAUUUCCUGAAUACCGUCUUCCCCAGGGCCAGGUUCAUUCCAGAGAUACUAUGUUCGAAACACAUCACAUCACAGGCUUUCCAUCUGAGCCCAGAAAACGUCAUCUUGGCCUGCUUAGAAUAACCUCACACUUUCCCCUUCCCUCACUUAUCCUGUGUCUAGACAGCACCUUCCCCACUAUGAGAUAAUCUUUUUUUUCCUUAAUGAGAAGGUCAACCCACCCAGGUUCACAGCGAUUGAAAGUGGGCACAAUCGGAUGCUCAUGAAAAAUGGGGAAAGAGACGGAGAAUGGCCGCUGUCGAGCUGGCCCACGUCAACCCUGGACCCCAUGAAAGCAGCAUGCAGGGCUCGCUUCUGAAACUCAUUCGUGCACAUCCUGGAGACACAUCACUGCGGUGGGAGAAAAGGAAGCUGAGGGCCUGGAUUUGAAUCCCGUCUCUGCUAAAUGUGGUUUCAUAGAAAUCAGAACUGAAAGGAGUUUUUGCGACUACUUAGUCCAACCAAGUCAUGUAGUCAUGGAGAAGGAAUUCCAACCAACCAACAAAUUCCUACUACGCGCCAGUUCUGAGCAUGGCCCUGGAGGAACAAAGAAAGACAAAAGCAGGAUCUCUGCCCUGAAGGGAUUGACAUUCGAAUGAGGAAGACUUCAUUCUCCUGUGCAACCAGUAAGUGCUUUUGUCAAGACCCGAACUCAGAUCUCCAGAUUCCUGAUGGUGGUUUUCCUCUCAUUGUACCAUGCCUCUGGACAUGCACAAUGGGGCUCAGUGCAAGGCUCUGCUCUGACUUCAUCAGCCUUGGAUGUCGGACACCACAGCGGUCUCUGGAAACCCCCAGAUCCCAGCCUAAGCCAGGUCUCAUCAUCGCAGCCGGAGCCCUACUCAGAGAUGAGGGAAGUUUCCCUCAAAUUAACUGCCCUCAUAAAUUUAUCCAUCUGUUAUCAUAAGUGUGGCUUGGAAAUGCCUGGGCCAUAAAAUCGAAAUAAGCCAGGAGCGAACAUUUCUUACCCUUGGCUCCGGGUGUAUAUUCUUCAUGCCAACCUAUUAACUCUUUUUAACAGCCUGAUCUGGGCUGGCCUCGGACAGGGCGCCCAUAAAAGAUGUGACAAAUUCCCGGUGCCUUAUACCACGUAGCGGCCUGCUCCGGGGCCUGCCGGGGGCCGGCCAGCUUUCACUGGCAGCGUGAUGCAAGAUGAACCCUUUGGGGUCCUGGAGACUCAGACAGACCCCCGGGAAGCCGAAGGACUCCCUGGAGCUGGCCUGAGACCACAGCGCCGAGGGGCUGAGAAAGGCCAGACCCCAGCAACAACCAGACCCAUCUCCCCAGCUCAGGACGGGCCGUCAGCCAACCACGGAGUGGUUCCAAAGGUCCUGUUGGGUUUUCAAUUUCCACCAAGACUUUGCUUUCCCCAAGUUAUCCUCGAGGGUUUUUCUGGAACCAUGAAGGUUGUUGGAUCCUCAUCAUAACCCUAAGAAGGUUUGAGAGCUGGAGAGGGCUUGUUUUACAGAUGGGGCAAGCGAGGCCCCCCAAAAUGAAAUGAUUUCCUCUCUAGAUGGGCCGUCUCCUUCAAUUAGGAUUCCCCACAGUGAUGACCAUCACAAGUUUCCAUCU
This is a non-coding RNA of Monodelphis domestica (gray short-tailed opossum), 8562 nucleotides long. NCBI's taxonomy places the organism in Eukaryota, Metazoa, Chordata, Mammalia, Didelphimorphia, Didelphidae. The record is from RefSeq and is a predicted model, not a curated record.